GCAUAGUGAUGAUGAAAGUUUUAUUUGACAAUGUCUUCUGAAGCAUAAUUUUUGCUAAGUGAUUGAACAAAUAACCUCCUACUCAUUCUGA
Cynara cardunculus var. scolymus (artichoke) is the source of this 91-nucleotide small nucleolar RNA. RefSeq annotates it as small nucleolar RNA Z105. NCBI's taxonomy places the organism in Eukaryota, Viridiplantae, Streptophyta, Magnoliopsida, Asterales, Asteraceae. The transcript has a single exon. The record is from RefSeq and is a predicted model, not a curated record.